UACAGAGGGGGCAAGCGUUAUUCGGAAUUACUGGGCGUAAAGGGCGCGUAGGCGGCAUGACAAGUCACUUGUGAAAUCUCUGGGCUUAACUCAGAACGGCCAAGUGAUACUGUCGCGCUAGAGUGCGGAAGGGGCAAUCGGAAUUCUUGGUGUAGCGGUGAAAUGCGUAGAUAUCAAGAGGAACACCUGAGGUGAAGACGGGUUGCUGGGCCGACACUGACGCUGAUGCGCGAAAGCUAGGGGAGCAAACGGG
RNAcentral lists this ribosomal RNA (253 nucleotides) under uncultured bacterium. Its description in RNAcentral is "partial 16S ribosomal RNA". It matches the Rfam family "Bacterial small subunit ribosomal RNA", at positions 524 to 776 of the family's 1533-position model. The record is from RNAcentral.